UCGUGGAAGGAGGCGGUGACGGUGACGCUGACCGAGCCUCAGGAGCCCCGGGCGGCACGUGGCUAGAAGUGAGAGCUCAGUCCAUCUGCAGGUGUCGGCAGCGUGCGCUACGGCUUUGUACUGGUUGGGGUGCGAGGCCGAAAAGGCGUGGCGGGCGUGGCUCCAGGCCAGCCAGGAGAUGUCACAGCACAGAUGACAUCACCCGGAGCCCGUGUGCUGUCACAAUGCAUUGCCAUGACGACGCCGGGCCCUCCCCAAGGACAGCUGGCCGCUGGCUCCAGGCGCCUCAUUUGUGAGCUGUGCUGCCCGCAGCCGCUCGCCGUGCCCUGUGCCUGAGAGCAGCCCCAGCAGCAGACUAGCUCAGCCUCAUCGCGCUCGUCCUCCAAGGCUCAGAGAGGUUUGGAGGCACAUGCCUGCCAGCAUGGACGGAGCCUGGGUGGGGACCUGGAGACCUCAUCGCCCACGCGGCCUCAUCUCGGCCCAGUUCCCCAGCCCCGGGCCCCAGUACUCCAUCCCGGGGACAACAGGUACAG
Molecule: RNA transcript, 533 nt
Organism: Gallus gallus (chicken)
Lineage: Eukaryota; Metazoa; Chordata; Aves; Galliformes; Phasianidae
Gene name: outer dense fiber protein 3-like
Exons: 3
Source: RefSeq, a predicted model, not a curated record